Molecule: ribosomal RNA, 479 nt
Filed under: uncultured bacterium
Lineage: Bacteria
Description: bacterial SSU rRNA
Rfam family: Bacterial small subunit ribosomal RNA
Source: RNAcentral
AUUGAACGCUGGCGGCAGGCCUAACACAUGCAAGUCGAGCGGUAACAGGAAAUAGCUUGCUAUUUUGCUGACGAGCGGCGGACGGGUGAGUAACGCGUAGGAAUUUGCCCAGUAGUGGGGGAUAGCCCGGAGAAAUUCGGAUUAAUACCGCAUACGCCCUAAGGGGGAAAGCAGGGGAUCUUCGGACCUUGCGCUAUUGGAUAAGCCUGCGUGAGAUUAGCUAGUUGGUGAGGUAAGGGCUCACCAAGGCGACGAUCUCUAGCUGGUCUGAGAGGAUGAUCAGCCACACUGGAACUGAGACACGGUCCAGACUCCUACGGGAGGCAGCAGUGGGGAAUCUUAGACAAUGGGGGCAACCCUGAUCUAGCCAUGCCGCGUGAGUGAUGAAGGCCCUAGGGUUGUAAAGCUCUUUCAGCUGGGAAGAUAAUGACGGUACCAGCAGAAGAAGCCCCGGCUAACUCCGUGCCAGCAGCCGCGGU